RNAcentral lists this long non-coding RNA (1909 nucleotides) under Nicotiana benthamiana. RNAcentral describes it as "long non-coding RNA (NBEN_LNC041560)". The record is from RNAcentral. Lineage: Eukaryota; Viridiplantae; Streptophyta; Magnoliopsida; Solanales; Solanaceae.
CUACCACUCAAGACAGUGAUCUGGACGGACAAUAAGCUUCUGGAGACACACAACAAAUGCCAUAACUUGACCACACGGAAGGAUUCAGCUUUUCCUACCAAACAAGAGAAGUUUUCUGAAUCCUUUGGUAACUUUAAGAGAGCUUUCAUCAGUUAUCCAUUUUCUUCUUGUGUUAUUUGCCUCGAGGUUCAUUUCAUUAUUUGGAGGAGGCGUAGAGACUUCAUUAGUCAGGAUCUCUUGGCAUUCUUUAGGCUCCACAUUUAUGUUACUGUCCUCAUGCAUUUUGGAAGCAGAGGAAGUCAGAGGAUUGACGGGCGAUGGAUUACCAUUCACCUGAGGACUUACUCCAACAACAUCAUCAACAGCUGCUGAGCUUUCAACUUCAGAUAGUACAAACCUUACCUUGUUAGAACUUUGUUUCUUUUCAUCUUUCAAAUGUUCAGCAGAAAGCAAAGGUAUAUUCUUCUUCUCAUUUAAUGAUAUGCUAUGUACCUCCUCCGUGUUCUUAGCAUCAACAGUAUCAUUAGAGAACUGUGGUCUUAGUUCAGAUCCGCGUUCAUUUGACAUCAACAUUAUGUCAUCCUUACCAUCUUUUACCUUCUGAGAAUCAAAUGCAGAAUAAUCUUUUAAUUGAACAUUUGUAUCCGAAGGCUUGACCUGAUAACUUUUUGAACCUGAAGGCUUGAUCUUACGUGGACCUUUCUUACUCUCGUUUCCAGCUGACUUCUGUAAUGGAGCAAUCACUUUAUUCUCCUUUUGACUUGCUUUCCUACUUGGAGUAGUUUUUGACUCAAUUGAUCGAUCCUUAGAUGUCCUUGUAGCUGAAAGGCGAUCUAUAGUGGAACUCUUACAAACUGGUUUAUGUAAUCUAUUGGUUGCCUCAGUUGGAGCCUCAGGUUUUGGCUUCUCAACUUUUGAAGAUGUGGCUGACUCUUUUGCAUUCUUCCUUGUGGUUGGUUUGGUAAAACCAGUGGUACCACUUCUUUCUGCAAUUCUCUUUUGACGCUGCAAUAGUGAUUGUUCCAAUCUCUUUCUAGUCUCUUCGUCCUGUAACAUAGAGAAAUUUAAAGAAAAAUAAUAGUAACAAUGAUAGAUGAAAAGAAUAGGAAAACCAUCACUUGGAAGAGGGGAUUUAAGUAUUUCUUUUCCUUCUCCUUUUUAAGAUAUGAUAUGUUCAUAUCAAGCAGCUAAAUGUCAUGAAAUUUCUACCCAUACUAGAAAUUGAAUGUUCAUCUUCCUCUCAAACGACACAUUUUUUUAAAAAGAUUUCACCAUAAACAUAACCGAUCCAGCAAAUUGAGUGAAAUUGAAUUAGACUGAUAAAAUAGAGAUACAAGGUGGACAAAAGUAGAUUUUUAUUAGAAAAAAGGUUUCACCAUAAACAUAACCGAUCCAGCAAAUUGAGUGAACAUGAAUUAGACUGAAAAAAUAGAGAUACAAGGUGGACAAAAGUAGAUUUUUAUUAGAUGUCCAUGCACUCCAGUAUAGAGACUGUCCGUACCUUCUCAGCUUUGCUCUUUUGCAACGUUAUUCUAUUACUUGCAUAAGGAGAUUUCUUGAUUCAUGAAGAUAUCUCAGAUUUGGUCCUUCCAAGAGAUCCAACUGAAGCUUUAGAUUUUGGUUGUUUGCUAACUCCCUUUCGCUCAAGGUCCUUGCCGAUCUUUUUGGUUUCUUCACCAUUUUGUGGAAGCUUCAUAUCAGUUGGUCUGACAUCAGUGUGAAUUUUAAGAGUUUCAGACAAGAAGACAUCAUUUUCGUAAUCUAUUUCAGGAUUCCAAGAAGCUGAAACUUGCUCAGCAGUUGAAGCCCUUUUAAGCACCAUGAAAAGGUCAUUUGGUUCACAUGUAUCAGAAGCAUCAAGCUUAUCUUCUACUACAUGAUUAGGCAUGCUGUUCUUAACUUGUUCAGC